ACGCUAGCUACAGGCUUAACACAUGCAAGUCGAGGGGCAGCAUGGAAGAAGCUUGCUUCUUCUGAUGGCGACCGGCGCACGGGUGCGUAACGCGUAUCAAACCUGCCUCAUACUCGGGGAUAGCCUUGCGAAAGUAAGAUUAAUACCCGAUGUUGUUAUGUUGCCGCAUGGUGAUAUAACCAAAGAUUUAUCGGUAUGAGAUGGUGAUGCGUCCGAUUAGGUAGUAGGCGGGGUAACGGCCCACCUAGCCUUCGAUCGGUAGGGGUUCUGAGAGGAAGGUCCCCCACACUGGAACUGAGACACGGUCCAGACUCCUACGGGAGGCAGCAGUGAGGAAUAUUGGUCAAUGGACGCAAGUCUGAACCAGCCAAGUAGCGUGCAGGAUGACGGCCCUCCGGGUUGUAAACUGCUUUUAGUUGGGAAUAAAAAAGAGGACGUGUCCUCUAUUGUAUGUACCUUCAGAAAAAGGACCGGCUAAUUCCGUGCCAGCAGCCGCGGUAAUACAGAAGGUCCAGGCGUUAUCCGGAUUUAUUGGGUUUAAAGGGAGCGUAGGCGGAUUAUUAAGUCAGUGGUGAAAGACGGUGGCUCAACCAUCGUUAGCCAUUGAAACUGGUAGUCUUGAGUGCAGACAGGGAUGCUGGAACUCGUGGUGUAGCGGUGAAAUGCUUAGAUAUCACGAUGAACUCCGAUCGCGAAGGCAGGUGUCCGGGCUGCAACUGACGCUGAGGCUCGAAAGUGUGGGUAUCAAACAGGAUUAGAUACCCUGGUAGUCCACACAGUAAACGAUGUAUACUCGCGGUUUGCGAUACAUGUAAGCCGCCAAGCGAAAGCAUUAAGUAUACCACCUGGGGAGUACGCCGGCAACGGUGAAACUCAAAGGAAUUGACGGGGGCCCGCACAAGCGGAGGAACAUGUGGUUU
RNAcentral lists this ribosomal RNA (920 nucleotides) under uncultured bacterium. Its description in RNAcentral is "bacterial SSU rRNA". It matches the Rfam family "Bacterial small subunit ribosomal RNA", at positions 33 to 947 of the family's 1533-position model. The record is from RNAcentral.